CAGCAACGGGCGCAUGCGUGAAAAACUUUUUCGUUUGGCGGUAGUCCAAAAUGAACUCACUCGCCGGUCGUCCGUUCCCAUCACUUGUUAACUCGGACCGGCAUCUGACAUGUCGAGUGUGUCAGACAGCAGAGGAAAUCUCAGCAUCAAAAAUCGCUCAGUUUCUGUGAUUUAUAUCUAAAACGUGGCAACAUAUUUAUUAAUUAAUUAAAAGACCACUUUCAGUUUUUCGGCGUUUCAAUUUCGAUGAAAUUCCUAAGCAUGGAGACAAAUUACUAGAAACUAUCUUCCUCACGAAUUUUAAAAAGACGCUCUUCGGUCAAUCAGGAAUGAGUAUGCCCAUUCUGAACGGAAUAGUUAAGACAUCUUUCAAACAGGCUACCUGCUUUUACCUAGUUUAGUACAAUCAUACGGAAGCAGUUUUAUAUUUCAGAGAAUGAGUGAAGAAAAGCUUGUCGUGUUACAACAUGCUUCACAGUUUUCCAUAAUUCAAGGAAAGGUCUAGCCCUUCUUUCAUAACCAUUCAGCAAUGUACCAAUCAUUCCAAAGACCCUUUGCAAAAAUAAGCAAAUGUUCCAAAAAUGUGUUCUGCUUCAGCUGUUCCGAAGAACUUUUAAGAAUAUAUGUAUUCGAAAAAUGGAAGUAAAAGCACAGCAUCCAGAGGAAUAUCCUUGGG
Stegodyphus dumicola is the source of this 676-nucleotide long non-coding RNA. The record is from RefSeq and is a predicted model, not a curated record. NCBI's taxonomy places the organism in Eukaryota, Metazoa, Arthropoda, Arachnida, Araneae, Eresidae.